Molecule: long non-coding RNA, 1152 nt
Filed under: Meleagris gallopavo (turkey)
Lineage: Eukaryota; Metazoa; Chordata; Aves; Galliformes; Phasianidae
Description: lncRNA (ENSMGAG00000017656.1)
Source: RNAcentral
CCCCAACGCGCUGCCCAUUCCACAGGUUAAGCAGAUAGAUAAUGUAUCGUUAGAGCCCCUCUGAACCACAGAUCCAUAUAUUCCUGAAGUCUCUCUCUAGCUCCAGAAUGGCUUAAUCGAUUUCUGUAAUUUUUUAUUAAAGAAAGAUUUCAUCCGGGCAGUGAGAUGGAUAUUUCCUCUGGGAUCACAGCUUAUGUGCCGAGCCGAGAGCCAACCUGAUCUGAAACAGCCCCGUUACAAACCCUCUGAAAAAUAGAAUACCUCCAUCACUAUGACAGAUAUGCCACUAUAAUUAACAUCUUUGGUAACAGACAUUACGCAGCCAAAAUUUUCUAUUUCCAGCUGCAGCACCGACCACAUCCCAGCACCACUACAAAGCAGCCGCACCUCUCCGGCCUCCACAGAGCACCGCGCCGCCAAGCCUCGCUCACUGCCAGUCUGGGAAGCAGCCGCUGGGCACCGACCCCCCGCUGCACGCUGUGCCCCCACACCCCAGGGUCACCCCAGGGCCGCCCGUCGCUCUGCCCCGCUCCCAGGAGCUCACUGAUGAUAUCCAUUACCGGCAGCUAUGAAAGAUUCAGGCAGCGCUGCAUUUCCGAUGAGGAGCUCCAUCAGCACUGCGCUCCCGGGAGGUGACGGGAGGUGAUGGGCGCAGUGCAGAGCGCUCCUCCAUCAGAAGGAAACGCAUCAGAUGGCGAGCGAGCCAUUCCCACCCGCACCGCCUCGGCCAGGGUGCCCAGCCCCAUCCCAGAGCAGGGAGCGCCCCGUUGCAGAGCAGCGCAGCGGUCCCGGGGCCUCAGAUGUAGAAGUGCCCCUUCGGCCCCACAGCGCAGCUCCGGCUGUCAGCCUGCACAGCUGCUGCCCAGGCGCUAAGGCCGAUCCUGCCCGGCUUCCCCCGCUGCCCCUCUGCAGGAGUCACACGCGGUGGCACAGAGCAGCUCCGCUCCGCACGGCACCCGAUGCGCUGCUGCCAAAGACGGCACUGCUGCCAGUGAAGAACCAACUCCAAAGCUUUUUGUAGCUCAGCAAUGAUGCUUUUCUGGCUACAGCCAAGCAGCUGAUGGCAGAGGAGCAGCCCAGUUACUCCAGAACAGCACCAGCUCCUGACCCCAGCAUUAAUGGGGCAUCGUCCGUUCCCAGCAGAGCUGAGAG